RNAcentral lists this long non-coding RNA (1811 nucleotides) under Equus asinus (donkey). Its description in RNAcentral is "lncRNA (ENSEASG00005037916.1)". Lineage: Eukaryota; Metazoa; Chordata; Mammalia; Perissodactyla; Equidae. The record is from RNAcentral.
GUGCCUUGGAAACUUGAGUCCAACUUUCUGCUGUGUCACUAACUCUAUGUCCUUGGGCAAGCCAUUUAGGUUCUUGCUAUUUCAACUGUAGAAAAGUAUUAGAAAUUCUUCCCUUCCCUACUUCCCUGGCCACCACUUUCCUUUAACAAAUAUGAAUUAGGCAUCUAGGCCUAAUAGAAACAGAUAAAACCCCUCCAUGAUGGCGUCAUUGAACUCAUCUCUGGUGAGGCACAGAUCUGUUCAAUAGACAAGCGCAGAAUUCCGCUGGUGAGGGGUCUCCAUGGAGAGGUUCUGGUGCGCAUGCGUCUAACGGUGCGAUUCGACCUCGUCAGAGAGGCCAGCGAAUGUUUCUGAUGAAGCCAGAACAGACGCAGCAGAGAUCUGAAGGACAAGGAGGCAUCACUGGAUGUCUAUUUUGGAUGGGCCUUAUGAAAGAGAAUCAGAAAAGAUUCCAUCAGAGAAUGAACCAGCAAUCAAGUAAAAGGAGGUUUCGUUUCCUGAAUCGUCUCUAGCGCGUGAGGUUGUGCCCUCAUCUGGAACUGCUGAGUUCUUAUGAACACCAACACUGAGUCACGGGAGAGCCCAGGACUUCUGCCCACCUGGGGAGUGCAGGGCCUCUGACACAAACCAGAUAAGGGGUCUGUCAGACCAGAGACCUGCCCCAGAGCCAAGAUGCUGCUUCUUUGCUCUGGAUUCAGCCUCACAAAUGAGCAGAGGCAGCAGGUACUCAGCCCAGAGAAACAGUGCCCAAAGAAAAGAAACAGAAAACCCAACUGAGGACAGCAACUUGUGCCAGCAAAGGCAUGGCCCAUGCAACACUGCCUUCUGUGCAGGAGGCCUGGAGCCUGGAGCCUUGGCAGCAUCUGUGUUGCUGUGUGUAUUGGGCAGGGGAGAGCGGGGUAUACGUCACAGUGGUCGUGGCUCUGUUUUCACUCCUCUCCUCGCCCCAACUCUCCUCGCACUGACCGCAAGAAGAGGCGGCGUUAGGUUACCAGGGGCUGCUGGCCCCAUUGAAUUCUCCUGUCCACCCUUAGGAGCCAGUCAUUCCUCCAGGCAUUGUUAUGGCUCCCAGGAGCUCAGGAGGAGCCUGGUGCCACUCAGACCCUGCCUCAGAUCCUGACGCAGGGCCUCCUUGCAUCUUCUUAAGUCAUUUCAAAGAAACUCUAGGUCUCUCAAGAGUGGUCCUGGAAAAAAGACUAUGUCACUUAUUGUUUUUUGUGACUAAAAGUAAUAGAUAUUUACUGCAGAGAAAUUUGGAAAAUAUAGACAUGUGUAAAGAAGAAAAUGUUCAGAGUGAUUUUAGACUCCGAUUCAUUCAGGAAACAAUUAUUUAAUUCUGCAACUACUACGUGCCACGCUCUGUUCUCAGUGCUGGGGAGGCUGCUGUAAACGACACAAAGUGCCUGCCCUCGUGGAGCUUCUGUUCUAGCAGAGGAGACAGUCAGGAGGGCAGGGGAAGGGGCGGAGGCUGAGGGAACAGGGCCCCAUCUUUGUUAGGUGGUCAGGAGGAGUGGAAGCAAGCGAGGGGUGUAUCUGGGAAGAGCGUUUCAGACCGAAGGAGCAGGAGCACCUCGGGGUUGGGGGAGAGCCUGCCCGGUGUCUUCAGGGACGUGAAGAAGGCCAGGGUGGCUGGUCAGCAGAUGAGCAAGGGGGAGUGUGGAAGGAGAUCAGUCAGGGGCUGCCCACGAGGACACGUGGGGACUUGUAGGCCGGGUGAGGAUCUCGGAUAGUGAGUGCAAUGGAAAUCCAACGUGGGCUUUCGAAAUGGAGAGUGACCUCAUUGACCUUAGGUUUUGAAAUAAUCAUUCUGG